Non-coding RNA from Schizosaccharomyces pombe (fission yeast), 674 nucleotides. Lineage: Eukaryota; Fungi; Ascomycota; Schizosaccharomycetes; Schizosaccharomycetales; Schizosaccharomycetaceae. The record is from the annotation of a GenBank genome assembly.
CGACGGAAGAAGAUCAUAGCACCACGAGGUCCACGUAGAGACUUGUGAGUGGUGGUAGUAACAACAUCAGCAUAUUCAAAGGGGGAAGGGAUAACACCAGCUGAGACAAGACCAGAAAUAUGAGCCAUGUCAACGACCAAGUAUGCGUUAACGCUGUCAGCAAUUUGUCGCAUACGAGCGUAGUCAAUGAGACGGCAAUAAGCAGAAGUACCAGCAACAAGGAUCUUGGGACGGAAUAACUGAGCGUCGUGCUCCAACAUGUCAUAGUCAAUCAAACCGGUGUUAGGAUCAACACGGUAGGGCAUAGACUCAAAGUAAGUAGAAACAGCACUAAUCUUCUUGGUAUCAGUUUGAUAACCGUGAGAAAGAUGGCCACCUGAAGGCAAGUCAAGACCCAUUAAACGACCGUGAGGAGGCAUAAUGGCUUGAUAAACUUGCAUGUUAGCGGGGGAACCGGAAAGACAUUGAACGUUGACACCCCAUUUAGCAGGAUCAAGAUUGAAGGCAGCAAGUGCACGCUCUUGGCAAAGAGUUUCAAUUUGAUCGAUAAACUUGUUACCACCAUAGUAACGAGCACCAGGAUAACCCUCUGAAUACUUGUUGCUCAUGACACUUCCAAGAGCAUCCAUAACAGCACGAGAGGUGAAGUUCUCAGAGGCGAUAAGAACAACAGA